Molecule: ribosomal RNA, 105 nt
Rfam family: 5.8S ribosomal RNA
About the family: 5.8S ribosomal RNA (5.8S rRNA) is a component of the large subunit of the eukaryotic ribosome.
UGCGAUACGUAAUGCGAAUNGCAGGAUUCAGUGAGUCAUCGAAAUUUUGAACGCAUAUUGCACUUCCGGGUUAGUCCUGGAAGUAUGCCUGUAUCAGUGUCCGUA